UGACCAGAAGUGGCGAUUAUGAACGUCAAACACGUGCGUAGUGGCCUGUUGUGUUGGCUAACCCCUAACACAACAAGAAAGGUUGGCAGAAUACGAUUUAUUCUGCUCUACAAUGAAAAUGAAAUGCCUUGCGACUAAUAGACCCGUGUAUGAGUAACCUGUUUUUUGACUUUUUUUUUUAUAUAAAACUCCGACGUGUGGAUACGUAAAGAAAGUUGGUUCACCAGCUGACCUCUAUCAAGACACCCAUGUCGACUGGAUUCCCCCUGUGAAGAUGAGCGAUGCUGCAGCAGCAUCAGUUUCUUCUACUACUUUGUUCUUUUCCUGAUAUGAAAGGAGACUUCCCUCAGUAUUAUAAGAUGGUUGUCAUAUGCUGUGCUUUGGUCAAUCUGAAUGAUUCUGUUGUGCCAUUUGUGCAGAGAGCACCUUCACCUUGUCGUCAUUACAAAAUAAACUGUAUGAAUAUAUAAAAUGUAUUUUGGAACAACAAUGUAAAAUGCUAUUGUUUAUGAUAUUGUAAACAUACUGUACUUUAAUAAUAUGCUAUAUUGUUGUAUGGGUGAAAUGAAAAGUAUUUUGUCAUUUCUGCUUUGCCUUGCUCCAUUAAAUAAAAUGUAUUUCUAA
Coregonus clupeaformis (lake whitefish) is the source of this 624-nucleotide long non-coding RNA. RefSeq lists it as uncharacterized. NCBI's taxonomy places the organism in Eukaryota, Metazoa, Chordata, Actinopteri, Salmoniformes, Salmonidae. The record is from RefSeq and is a predicted model, not a curated record. The transcript is spliced from 2 exons.